CAUCACAUAUUUCUGGGUUUUUCUUCUUUAUUUUGUUCAUUCAAUGUCUCCAUCACAUUUCACAAUCCAAAACCCUAAUUACCAUGGUUCACCGCCAUUUAUUGCAUCUUGGGUUUUAUGGUUUUCAGAUAUUUCUCAUGGUCCAACUGAAAUUAGCUGCCUUUUCAUUCAUCAAUAGGUCAGCAAGUCACACGAGUCCAAUUUUUGAAUUGUGGAAGCAAAUCACAAUUGCAUUUCUAACAUACUCUCUGCUCAGUCUUUUAUGAUUUUUAUUGGAGAUGCUCUCUAAUUCAGCUCCCUUGGCUUCUUCUGAGUCUGUUUGUUUCUCCUCUUGCUUACCUCUGCAGCCUGACAGGUUCUGCCUUCCAUGCUUCUAGUCCCCCAUUAAAAAUCAGUUUCAAGUGAUCCAUUUCUCGAGGAGUACUCUAGAAAGUCCUUAAUUUUGGUGGGGUGUUGAUAGGGAGCUAUAUAUUCUUGGAGCAGUUUGGUAGAUUUCUUCUUCUGGUGAUAUUCUGGAAAUUGGGGUUCAAACAAGGCUAGAUGACUGUGGAUGAAACUGACUGUAGCUCUGUGUGGACUAGAGAGCAGGAUAGGGCCUUUGAAAAGGCCCUUGCCACACAGCCUGAGGAUUCUUCAGAUUGGUGGGAGAAAAUUGCAGCUGAUGUACCUGGGAAAACUUUAGAAGAAAUCAAAGAGCAUUAUGAGCUAUUAGUGGAGGACAUUAACCAGAUUGAGGCUGGGUGUGUUCCCCUGCCUAACUAUACUUCUUCGUCAGAAGGUUCAACGAGCCAUGCCAGGGAUGAUGGAACUGGUAAGAAGGGAGGCCAUUAUGGGCAUUAUAACAGUGAAUCCAAUCAUGGAAGUAAGGGCUCAAGGUCAGAUCAGGAACGCCGGAAGGGGAUUGCUUGGACAGAGGAUGAACACAGGUUGUUUCUUCUUGGUUUAGAUAAAUAUGGGAAGGGUGAUUGGCGAAGCAUUUCUCGAAACUUUGUAGUGACCAGAACACCUACGCAAGUGGCAAGCCAUGCGCAAAAGUACUUCAUUCGUAUGAACUCGAUGAACAAAGAUAGAAGGCGAUCGAGCAUCCAUGACAUUACCAGUGUUGGCAAUGGAGAUAUUUCAGCACCUCAAGGACCCAUCACUGGUCAAUCAAAUGGUACUGCUCCUGGAGCUUCGUCUGGAAAGUCAACCAAACAACCUCCUCAACACCCAACUAGACCCCCAGGCGUUGGCAUGUACGGUCCUCCGAGCAUAGGGCAACCUAUAGGAGGGCCCCUCGUUUCAGCAGUAGGCACUCCUGUGAAUCUUCCUGCCCCUGCACACAUGGCAUAUGGUAUCAGAGCUCCAAUGCCAGGAACUGUACCUGGAGCAAUGGUUCCCGGUGCACCAAUGAACAUGGUGCCUAUGACGUAUCCAAUGCCGCACACAACCGCUCAUCGGUAAUGCACUUUUAGCCAUGAAAUGUGCUAACAGACAGCAGACCUUCAGCUUGUGCUCAUAUUGGAUAGGUCAAACAGACCUAUAUAGCCAACAAUGCGGCCCGAAAAGUGACGUUCAAGAAAAGAAGAAAAGCUUCUUACACUCUUUGUGGUGCCCAAGUUGCUGAAGAGAGUUGUUGGCGAAGCGUUGAAGGAUUAAUGGUGCUAAUGUGAAUUAGGAAGAGAUCAAUUAACUGGCUCUGUAGCCUUCUUAUCUUGUAAAUAAAUGUAUUUUCCAAUGUAUUUAAUAAAAUUGACUCAAAUGCCCAAA
This is an RNA transcript of Tripterygium wilfordii, 1749 nucleotides long. It is a transcript of the gene named transcription factor SRM1-like, with no coding region annotated. Lineage: Eukaryota; Viridiplantae; Streptophyta; Magnoliopsida; Celastrales; Celastraceae. The record is from RefSeq and is a predicted model, not a curated record. The transcript is spliced from 3 exons.